RNAcentral lists this long non-coding RNA (205 nucleotides) under Elaeis guineensis (African oil palm). RNAcentral describes it as "long non-coding RNA (EGUI_LNC066121)". The record is from RNAcentral. Lineage: Eukaryota; Viridiplantae; Streptophyta; Magnoliopsida; Arecales; Arecaceae.
AGGUUCUGAGAUGGGAGAACCCAGCUUCAAGCUCAAGCAGUGGCAGCUCAGCUUUGGCAAUUUAUGAAGGAGUAAGAGGUGGUAGAUGGAACGGCAGGAGAUCCUGAGAUGCACGAUCCAAGUCCAGGGUGAGAGACUUGAGCAAGAUUAGAUGCUAAGAGUACGAUGAGUUGGGAUAUCAUAUCAAAGAUUGUCCACAAUGAAG